Molecule: RNA transcript, 2590 nt
Organism: Papilio polytes (common Mormon)
Lineage: Eukaryota; Metazoa; Arthropoda; Insecta; Lepidoptera; Papilionidae
Gene name: zinc finger protein 449-like
Exons: 3
Source: RefSeq, a predicted model, not a curated record
UCGAAAAUCACAUUGGUACAUGGCGGUAUUUGAAUCCAAGACCUGUAGAUUACAAGUAAAGUGCUUAACCUUUAACUAUGGAUGUGCAGUCUCACAGACCGCUCGUGGUUUGUGAUUCGGGUAUCCCGCACCAGACGCGUUUGCCGGCCUUAGUAGCUUCACGUUUAGUAGUGAAAUGAAGAUUGAAGCGAGAGGUUGCGUCGAUGGUUCCUUAUUGGUGAGUUAUUUGAUAUUUUAUUUCGAUCGCGGUCUGUAGGACCUCACGUCCGUGUUUUUGUAGUGCAUUGUGCUUACAAUAUUUUUUUAUUGUAGAUGUUUUUUGUUUGAAAAUGACGGAUAAUGAAAGGCCUAGUACUUCAGGAUCCAAAAGGAAGUCAAGCUCAUCUUUAGCUCCCAAGGAGAAUAAAUUAUUACGACUAGAUGACCCUUCUUUCGAAGAUGUACUUCUGGAAUCAGAUCAGUGUGAUAGUGAUGGAGACAUUGAUGACUGCUUACUACACGAACAGGACUUAGAUAAAAAUCACGUGAGUGAUCGAGAAAUGGCCGAGGACUCCAAAAUUUCCAAUUCUGUCAGAAGUUCUGAUGGUUCAGACGACGAUUCUCCACUUACACAGCUACGGACUAAGUAUUGCUAUGGCAAAAAUCGGUACAAAUGUGCUACCAAUCCACAGUCAAGAAGAGUUUGUACUGCACAGCACAACAUAGCGGUUAGUACUAGAUCCAUUGAACAGCUGACAGAAGAUGAAAAGAAAGAUCCCAUUAGUAUUUGGAAUAAACUUUUUGAUUCCGAAAUGCGGCAAACUAUUUUGACUUGGACCAACUUUAAAAUAGCCCAGCUGAGAGCCCACUUCAAGCGGCAAGAGAGGCCAGAAUUAAAAGAUGUAGAUAUGAUAGAAUUGAAUGCUUUCCUGGGAUUAUUGUAUUAUGCUGCUGUCCUGAAGUUGAAUCAUGCAGCGACAAGUUUUUUGUUUGCUACCGAUGGCACAGGCUCUGAAAUAUUCAGGUGCUGCUUGUCUGAAACCCGAUUUUUAGUCCUUUUGUCAUGCUUGCGCUUUGACAACCCAGCUGAUCGUUCUGAGAGACUAAAAACUAAUAAAUUAGCUGCUGUUUCUGGUAUAUUUACUGCUUUUGUUACCAAUUCUCAAAAACUAUAUAAUGUCAGUGAAUAUGUUACCAUAGACAAGAUGCUAAUAGAGUUUCGUGGAAGGACUCACAUGGUUAUGUACAUGCCUCACAAACCUGGUAAAUAUGGUCUUCUUAUUCAUGCAUUGUGUGACGCCAAGACCUUUUACUUUUAUAAUGGAUAUUUGUAUUCGGGUAAAGGCUGCGAUGGGACUGGAUUAUCAGAUGAUGAAAAAAAAUUUCUUGUACCCACUCAGUGCGUUUUACGACUGACACAGCCACUACAAGGAACCAAUCGUAAUGUGACAGCAGACAAUUGGUUUUCAUCUGUCGAGCUAGUAGAUGAACUGUCCAAGCGGAAACUUACGUACGUUGGGACAGUAAAAAAGAAUGAACGAGAAAUUCCGAACGAAUUUCAGCCACAUAAAUCAAGAGAGAUUGGAUCAACAUUAUUUGGCUUUACAAAUGAUAAAACUCUGUGUUCACAUGUACCAAAACAGAAUAAGGCAGAACUUCUGGUAUCUUCUAUGCAUCAUAGCAACAUAAUAGAUGAGAAGGCAACUAAACCGGAGAUGAUAUUAUUUUACAACUCCACCAAAGGCGCGGUAGAUGAAACCGACAAAAAUUGUUCGAUUUAUUCGAGUAGUCGACGAACAAAAAGGUGGCCUAUGGUGGUGUUCUACAGAAUUCUGGACUUAUGUGGCAUAAAUGCCUACAUUUUACAUAACCAACACCAACACAGAGGACUGGAUAGAGGUAAAUUUUUAAAGGAACUGGCACGAUCAUUGGUAGUACCUCAAUUGCAAAGAAGAGUUAUGAACUCUCGUUUGCCAAAUGAAUUGACACUGACGAUAAAACGUGUUUUGGGUCCUGAUAUGCCAAAUCCAGAAGUCCCAGAAACUACUGUUUCUAAACGCAGGACAUGUGCACUUUGCCCUCCAAAGAUAAAAAGAAAGACAACUUACAUAUGUGUAGGCUGUCGGCUGCCAAUAUGCCUUCAGUGCUCAAAGCCACAGUGCAAAAACUGCCAGUAAAAUGUCCAAGUUGUGUCAUUGUCAGAAUUUUUAUGUUUAUGUUUUUAGAAGAGAUGUUUUAUUUUCUGUAAUUUUAAUUUUAUAAAGUCACCCUGGUGCCUAAACAAUUUAUUUAAAAAAAAAACGUUCCUUUAUAGUGAUCUCGUACAAAAAGUCUGGAAAGAGUGCGUACCUGUGUUAUACGGUUAGUUUUUGUUAUGAAGAAAUAAAAAAUAUGUAUGCAUUUUAUGUUUUUAUUUACAUUUAGCAACUUAUACAGGGGAUAACAUAAAAAAUCUGUUUUUAAAGUGAUUUGAGUGUGAAACUCGCCUUUGAACAUAGCGUCUGUGAGACCGCACGUCCAAAGGACAUAUUUUUCAUAAUUCACAAGAGGAAAUUCCAUUAACAAAUGGUACUGAUAAUAAAGAGGAUCUUCUAGAAAUUAAGGAGGAACC